GCAGCAUAUAUAAAAAUGGACAAGAAAACGAACGAGAUCGAACGAGAUACAUAAUGCUUAAAUAAUUGACAACUUAUAAUUAUAUAUGCGUGUGCACGGCACACUUCUGCACAAUCUACACGAACAGAAGGCCCAGCCACUCCCGCCGCGUAGAUCCACAUACAUAGGCCGAGCUCUGUCUGACGGAGGUGAUGAUGGAGUUCCCAGAUUGUUCCACUCUACUCCUCAUACUGUACGCGGCGUGGAACGCAGCACAGUCAGACAGCUCAUCCCGUGCCCGGUGAAGGCCAGGGAUGAGCUAGUCCAUCUAGGACGCCCCAGAAGCCGCUUGAGGAUGUCGUUAUGACAGACUAAGACGGUUCAUGGAGGCAGCCCUUUACCGCGACCACAGCGAGUUGCAGUAGAGAGAGUAGCAGUGGCUCGUGAAUAACUCCAACUUCACCUCCGUGCUGCUGAAGUGAUGAUAAACAUAUAGUGAACGUGUGAAACAAUAGGCUUUUGAAAUGAUGCACGAGGAAAUGUGUCGUUUUGAGCCUUGAAAAAGUGCACACACAUAUAUGUUUCUCGUUCGAUCCUCCGACUGUUUGCCAAAAGAAAAGUUUGUUGUGUAGUCUACUACAAUGGAACUUUAUAUUAAAAAAAAGAGAAGAAAAGAGAAAAAGGAGAGAGAGAGAGAUUAUUAACCUUGAGAUAAUUCCCUUCUCUUUCGGAAACGCCUCGUGACCACAAGAACAACAACAAGAACAGCGACACAAAUCAUCACCGACGCAGCUAUGAUGGUGAUGGCGGUGAUGGUGGUGGUGUGUUUUGUAGGUGUGGUGAUGGUGAUGGCGGUGAUGGUGGUGGUGUGUUUUGUAGGUGUGGUGAUGGGGAUGGCGGUGAUGGUGAUGGUGUGUUUUGUAGGUGUGGUGAUGGGGAUGGCGGUGAUGGUGAUGGUGUGUUUUGUAGGUGUGGUGAUGGUGAUGGCGGUGAUGGUGGUGGUGUGUUUUGUAGGUGUGGUGAUGGGGAUGGCGGUGAUGGUGGUGGUGUGUUUUGUAGGUGUGGUGAUGGGGAUGGCGGUGAUGGUGGUGGUGUGUUUUGUAGGUGUGGUGAUGGGGAUGGCGGUGAUGGUGGUGGUGUGUUUUGUAGGUGUGGUGAUGGGGAUGGAGGUGCAGUUUGUCAAAGAGAUUGAUUGAUUGAUUGAUAGUUUAUUGUUGCAAGUAAACAACUAAGGAGAAGGGAGGAGCAUGCCAUCCCAACCCCCAGGCAGUACAGAGUGUGAU
Long non-coding RNA from Eriocheir sinensis (Chinese mitten crab), 1262 nucleotides. RefSeq lists it as uncharacterized. The record is from RefSeq and is a predicted model, not a curated record. Lineage: Eukaryota; Metazoa; Arthropoda; Malacostraca; Decapoda; Varunidae. The transcript is spliced from 4 exons.